Molecule: transfer RNA, 68 nt
Filed under: Marmota monax (woodchuck)
Lineage: Eukaryota; Metazoa; Chordata; Mammalia; Rodentia; Sciuridae
Description: tRNA.Thr
Source: RNAcentral
GGAUUGUGGCUCAGUGGUAGAGCACUCCCCUAGUAUAUGUGAGGCCCUGGGUUCGAUCCUCAGUACCA